UUAGCUGAAAAUACGUAAAGGCAGUCAGCCCAGUGGUGUUUCUGGAGAGGGAUUCCUUCAGAAAUGGAGAAGACAGAAAGCUGCGGAGGCAGAUAUUUGCAGCAGUCUAAAAUAUCAAGCUCAACAGCUCACUCAAGAGCCAACCCUCACAAACCUUCCUAAAAACUAAAAGAGCUAUUACUGAGUCUCAGCGAAUCUUGCCAUGAUCAGCUCUUCCCAGAAGAGAAGGAAGACCAAGGAAAUGAUUUGCUCAGGAUGAGGAAUGAAGACGGCCAUCUUGUGCUCAAACAAACAGAAGUCCUCUGAUGAUCUCAUCAGCCAAAUGAGGGGUUUUGACCAAGUGAUGCUCUUGAAAGGAGUGAAAGAAGAGGAUGUGGUAAAUUCUCUUCAGAGAAAAAGCUUCUCAAAAGGUCUCAAAGCAGCUUGAAGAAUGGUCUGGGAUGUUAGGACUGAGAGAUCCUCUGGCUGAGAACAAGCUACACCACAUCAGUGCUGGAUAUCAACCACAAACUGUUUCCAGACACGAGAGAAGAAGAACACGAUGGGGAGAUGAAACCAGUUUAGAUGUGAUGAUGGGAAUCAUUAUUUUCUGGAACAGUAUCUCAUGUCUUAUAUGUAUCACAUGAUCUGUAUCACAGUUGACUGGAUGGGACUGUGUGACUUUUAAGGACAUUUCAUCACUCAUCUGUGUGAACUGAUUUAUAUAUGAGGUUAAUGUAUUUUUGAUGAUAAUUAUUUUCAUUGAAUCUUAUUUGUCUUGAUGCUACUUUAUCAACUUUAUAGUCUAUGCUUCAAUAAAAUGAAAAUGGUGAAUAUUGUGUUCUGAAGAUUCUUGGUAAAUACAUAAUUUUACUAGGUAGGCUCAUAUGUGUUUAUUUUAGACUUGGAAAAACGACAUAUUAAUUAUUGGGAUUAUUUUUUAUUUAAGACAUAAACAUUUUUGAUCGGAUUAAUAACAUCUGGGACAUCAGUACACCAGAAA
Molecule: long non-coding RNA, 982 nt
Organism: Carassius gibelio (silver crucian carp)
Lineage: Eukaryota; Metazoa; Chordata; Actinopteri; Cypriniformes; Cyprinidae
Exons: 5
Source: RefSeq, a predicted model, not a curated record